Molecule: ribosomal RNA, 368 nt
Filed under: uncultured organism
Description: bacterial SSU rRNA
Rfam family: Bacterial small subunit ribosomal RNA
Source: RNAcentral
CGUAGGUGGCAAGCGUUGUCCGGAUUUAUUGGGUUUAAAGGGUGCGUAGGCGGUCUUGUAAGUCAGUGGUGAAAUACGGCAGCUUAACUGUCGAGGUGCCAUUGAUACUGCAGGACUUGAGUACAGACGAGGUAGGCGGAAUUGAGGGUGUAGCGGUGAAGUGCUUAGAUAUCGCCAAGAACACCGAUAGCGAAGGCAGCUUACUAGACUGUAACUGACGCUGAUGCACGAAAGUGUGGGGAUCAAACAGGAUUAGAUACCCUGGUAGUCCACACUGUAAACGAUGAUUACUCGAUGUUGGCGAUACACAGCCAGCGUCUUAGCGAAAGCGAUAAGUAAUCCACCUGGGGAGUACGCCGGCAACGGUG